GCUGGGCGUGGUGGCGCAUGCCUAUAGUCCCAGCUACCCUGGAGGCUGAGGUGGGAGGAUCGCUUGAGUCUGGGAGGUUGAGGCUGCAGUGAGCCAUGAUCAUGCCACUGCACUCCAGCCUGGGCAACAGAGCGAAACCCUGUCUCAA
This 148-nucleotide non-coding RNA is filed under the name Gorilla gorilla gorilla (western lowland gorilla). Lineage: Eukaryota; Metazoa; Chordata; Mammalia; Primates; Hominidae. The record is from Rfam by way of RNAcentral.